Molecule: ribosomal RNA, 207 nt
Filed under: Neobacillus thermocopriae
Lineage: Bacteria; Bacillati; Bacillota; Bacilli; Caryophanales; Bacillaceae
Description: partial 23S ribosomal RNA
Rfam family: Bacterial large subunit ribosomal RNA
Source: RNAcentral
UCUUGCCAAAGGCACCGCUGGGUAGCUAUGUGCGGAAGGGAUAAGUGCUGAAAGCAUCUAAGCAUGAAGCCCCCCUCAAGAUGAGAUUUCCCAUAGCGUUAAGCUAGUAAGAUCCCUGAAAGAUGAUCAGGUUGAUAGGUCAGAGGUGGAAGCACGGUGACGUGUGGAGCUGACUGAUACUAAUCGAUCGAGGACUUAACCAAAUAA